This is a non-coding RNA of Pelobates cultripes (western spadefoot toad), 330 nucleotides long. NCBI's taxonomy places the organism in Eukaryota, Metazoa, Chordata, Amphibia, Anura, Pelobatidae. The record is from the annotation of a GenBank genome assembly.
UUUUAAAUUGGGGUAGCCCCCAAAAUAUUGGGACAUAUAAAAAAAAGACAACUCUGUUCCGCAGAGUAGCUGUUGACAUUAUAGUUGUGCAGGCACUUUGUUGACUGUAGAGAACCUCGGGACAAUAGCACAUCCCUGUGACAGCGACUUUGCAUUCGGAUGUCAUCCAUAUCAACUCUCGAUGCCAGUUUCUGCGCCUACCAUGGUGACCAUGGGUAACGGGGAAUAAGGGUUCCAUUCCGUAUAGGGACCCUGAGAAACGGCUACCACAUGCAAGGAAGGCAGCAGACGUGCAAAUAACCCACUCCCAACGUGGGAAUGUCUUGAUGA